Long non-coding RNA from Gasterosteus aculeatus aculeatus (three-spined stickleback), 10369 nucleotides. Lineage: Eukaryota; Metazoa; Chordata; Actinopteri; Perciformes; Gasterosteidae. The record is from Ensembl.
GACGACUGCGAGCGAGACAUUUACAAACCAACUUAUCGAUCCAGCGCGUGGAAACGUUUUGGCUUUUGCAAACACGGAGGUGUUCUAAAUAAGUCGUCGCUGUUUGUAGAAUAUGUAGAAGCCAAAUAGAAAACCACGGAAACACGACGAAUCUUUCCGGCCAUCUACUACGGCGCCGUGGGAUUCAACAACGCCGACAGUCAGGACCUCUAGCAGCGUCACCGCUGCAGCAGCAGCAGCAGGUAACUCAGCUCUGCAGACGCCUCAGGCCUCGCCAGCACCAAACUCAACAUCACAGUAACAAUUGCCAAGUUUAUCUGUAAAGACCUGCGACCCGACAAUGUGGUUGAACAUCCGGGGUUCUGUGAAUUGAUCCAAACAUUGUGUAAUUAUUGUGUAAUGUUUACAUUGAAAAUGGCACUUGAUUCAAAUAAAAGGUUAAUACAUUUGCCAUUAAUUGUUUGCUUGUUUAUAAUAUCCAUCAUUAAUUUCCUUACAAGAAACAACAGGGAUCUCAGAAACUUUGCCUGCACUGUCCAGUAAAGUUACUGAAUCCAUUUCAAGUCACUGAAUCGAAUCGUUCUAAAUUAACCCAGAUCGUCCAUGAAUCGAAUCGGCAACCAUGAAUCGCGUAUUGAAUCGAGUCGUUGUUAAAAUGAAUCGUUACACCCGUAUUUGUAAUGUAUCUGCUUAAAUCAAAUAGAAAAGGAAAAAAACGCGUUUGGAUCUUUUGCUGAACCAAAGGGCCUUGCAGGAUGUUUGCAGGAUGGAGGACGGCGUCGUCAAUAAUAAUCACCUUGAAUCGUUCUUAAAUAGACCGUAGCGAUCAGGCCCACUUCUUGCAGUGUUUUAUAAUCACGUGAAGAUUAUGAAACACUGGCAAACAUUGUCUUGUGACUCAUGCGUUUGCAACUAUUGGCUGGAAUUUAUAUUCUUAGAAUUUAGAAACAGCGGCCUCUGUAGGGAACAUGUAAACUCAUUGACCUCUGCUUGACCUCUGGGUCGUCUGUAAAGAGACACUGAGAUGCGGAGCCUGAAGAGGACAUCGAUGCCUCAACCGUCUCACCUCUUCUGUCCCUGUCUUUAAGAGGGGGGGGAGAAUGCGGAUGAAAGGUUGUGUUGCCUUUAGAAAAACACUUUUUUUCACCGAUGUCAUAAAAGUUUGCUUGUUUUCACGCUUUGCAUGGAUUUUCUUACCGGGAACACAGGAGUCUCACAGAGACUCACCUAUCGACAAGAUCCCGCCGGCCUUUUUCUCACAAACCGUCCGACAAAGUGAUUCACAGAUGUUUCGCGAAACCGGAGAGGAAACGCGGUAUCAGAGUUAAAACAGCGGCGAUGCAUUUAGCUUAUUGGAAAGCUCCGUUGUGCUUCAGUCUCUCGUGCAGCCGAAGCAACUUGAAGCGCGUUGCAGCAGCGAUUUCAGGUUUUAAGAAGGAAUAUUCUCACACACAUUUAGGCUGCAUGUGUCAACGCAGAGCGCGCUGCUUAUUCUCUACCAUCAACCCCCCCCCCCGGCUCCCCGAGCGGCGGCCCAACUGGCAAACGUCGGCUCGGCGAGCGGAGAGAGAGAAUCCCGGGAAAUGCCGGUUCGUCCCCGCGGGGGGAAACCACGUCGCUGGGUGGCGUCCAGGAGACAGAAGACAGAGUGGGACGUUGGCUCCAGUCGAGAUGGAACUGUUGGCAGGACGGUGGGACGGCUACGAAAUACAGAUACGAGGAUGUCUCCGCGACUCCGACGAGUCGUCCAUCUGAGCCAGAAGGGUCGGAAUGACCGUACAAAGCGAAAUACUUUACACUUGUUGUCCACGUGUUCAGCAUAGUUGUUCAUUUCUUACUGUGGCUCAGGGUUAUUUCUUAAGCUCAACACACUAACAUUUUGGUACCUUCAAAAGUUUAAACCACUGGCCGAAGUUGAAAGGAGACUAUUGGCAGGCUGAUGGGCCGCAAUGAAAAGCUCCUCUAAUGAUUUGACCAUCUGCCUCGGGGAGGACAUUCAAGGGUCAGUACAUGCUCACUGUGUUCGGUGCCACUUCAUUGUGCUUGCGACUCCUUCUUCUAUAAACAUCGAGUGUUAUGAAGAGUUUGCGAAAGAUGCGACUCCAGAAGACAACGAGCACUUUGUGUGUCUCCUCGUUCAGUCACAUAUAGAGCAACACACUGUGCUUCAAUCAAUCGAUGAGCAUUAGAGUACUCCUGUCCUGGUUGGGUAACAUGAACAGCACAACCAGGAAGAGUAGAAGACGGUUUAUGGAGACACAAUACCGUUCACGGCGCUGGACGCACCAAAAAGACUUCACUGGACACUUCCUACGAUCGCCGACCGUUUUUGACGGAGGCCUCGCGGGGCGGCGCGCCUGCAACGCGAUCGCAUUAAAUCCAAUUUGCCGAACCCGAUCUCCAAGGCCAAGUGUAAGUACAGCCCUCGAUUGCCCCCCCCGUCGUCUGGAGGUCAGGAGCUGACCGGUGCACAUCCGUCAGGAUACGCCAUCAGUCAAGGGUUGGCUCAAGCUGUAAUAACAGCCAGACACCGGCACACAGAGGUUACACGCAGUGCAAAGUCGCGCGCACGCUUAGGAUAACCCCCCCGAGUGACUCAACCGAAAGCCUAACACAUGCUAGCAUUCAUUAGGAACAACCGGCGAGCACUUGGACAAUGUUUAGAUGGAGUUGGCCGGCUCAGGCAGAGAGAGAAAAUGAAGAUGUUUCUUUCCGUUUCUCUCUCAGCGAGCUGGAUUCUCCGACCGACUCCAAAGGACAGCCAAGGGUUACCAGAUGCUGGCGCUAGCUAACGCGCUAGCUAACAUGCUGCAUUUAAAGGGGGGGGAAAAGCACGGAAUGGCGGCGCCUGUGGCGGGUUGUCGAUGCUUUUUACUCCCCGGCGGACACGGGAGCUCUGUGGACGGCUGCCGUGAUCAAUGCGAUCGAUACGAAUAUGACGCAGCGCCCGGACAGCGGCAGCGUUCAGUGUGUGUGAGCGUCUCGCCCGAGGACGCUUCCUGGACCUCGUGUUCAGCGGCCCUCCAACGGCGAUUAAUAAAACGCAAUCCGAUACGCUACUGUACACAACCCCCGUGAUUAAUCUCUGACACACAUUUUCCGUUCAUCCGUCUUCCCUCCGUCCACUUUCUUGUCUUUCUCCGUCUCUCUCACACACACACACACACACAAAGACGCACACACAGCGACGGAGGACGGGUGAUCAACAACACGAUCCUUGUUCGUGAACUCGUCGGGACCUCUGGCCGGCUACCGUUGCUCCAACACACGAUACACAGACACGCACCGGAGGACAGACGGCCCUCGAUCACGGUCAAACAAGUGCGCGCACACUUUCUACACACACACACACACGCACACACACUUGUCCGGCUGUCUGGGAUUCACGGAGGUGACUUUGGCCCAGCGAGCGUAUCGCCGAGCUCAAGGAAAACACGCGGUUUAUGUUCCACGUGGGCCGAGGACGCUGCAGGCCGCCGGCCGGCCGGCGGCCCGUAGGCCGCAGGGACGUGUCACUCUGCACCGCGUGUGCGCGUCAGCAAGAAAUAGAAGACGCGAAGAAGAAAGCGCUGUCUUACCGAGGACGAGGGAAUAGGGGUGCGAGGCAACGAGUGGGCGUGUUUUCUCGGUCUGUAAUCAUCAUGUCACCCUGACCAUCUGAACUCUUAAACAAAUGUCCCACACUGACAAACACAUCGGAGACACACAUUCCUACGGGACCUUGAAUGCAUCACAGCAACUAUAUGUUGCACAGUGGAAAGUGGCAGCUGCACACACACACACACACACACAGGAGGACAUUCAUACCGGUGGUUUUGGGAUCUCGUCCUGGCUGCUGUUCUGCUGGUGAACUUUGGUCGGAUGACUAAAGUCCUCCGAUGAGACGAUGUUACACACUUUCCUCGGAUAAAUGAUUUCGCAAAAAUGUUUUUGACUAGUUACUGAAAAAGUGAUUCUGAUGUGGGGGGGGGGGGUCUCCAUAAACAACCGAAAACCCAAAGCCACAAAACCGGGACGCGAAGCUGCAGCUCAGCCUCCGUUUGUUGGAAGGAUCCACAGCUACUUGCUGUCGGGGGGUAAAUAAGUGACCCGGUGAAAAGGAAAUGGUUCCACGGUGUUCUGCUUGAACACUUCUAUUCUAGUUAUUACGCUUUCGUUUGUAGUAUUGUGGUGGAUUGUUUGAGAAUUCCACUAUUAGUUAUUCAUUUUUUAUGAGAUGCAGUUUCAACCGAAGAGAUGCAACGCGCCAGAAAGUCAUCUCGACCAAAAAGUGGAUUUUAAGGAAAGAAACAAAACUGUCGUCUCUCUCUGCCUUUGUUUCUCUUGUUUUAAUGCUUUCCGUCUCUCUUCUUCUGUCUGUGUGUGUGUGUCUGUGUGUGUGUGUGUGCGUGCGCGCAUUCUGUCACAUAGUGUAAGUGAUACAGAUAGAGCGACCGCAGCCUGUGAUAACAGGAUUACUAGACAGCCGUGUUUAAUUUGAGCUCGGGGCAAAUACAGGCUGAGUGUGUGCGUGUGUGUGUGUGUGUGUGUGAGAGGGAAAGUGUGUGUGUCUUUUUAGGUGGCUUCGAUUCCUGUAAGUGCGGUGUCUGAAUUGGCUUGCUACCCUACCUUCCUACAUGCAUGCACACACACACACACAGACACACACACAGACACACACACACACACACAAUUUGGAUAAUACCUCAAUAUCGGUUGACUUAUUUUUAGAAGGGAUCACGUCCAAGGAACAUUUUUCUUUUGUUUUAAGUUUCAUUUUGUUUUCCCUCACCAACUCCAACACCAACUGUGCAUGCACACACACACACACACACACACACACACGCACACACACACAGGAGCCACGUCGUCCAAAGAGAAGAUGAGGGGAGAAUGUAUCUUCCUGCCUUUGCCAAAUAGUUGCAGUCAUGCAAACAUGGUCGGUCCACACACACACACACACACACACACACACACACACGCACACGCACACGCACACGCGUGCAUACUUUUCCUGUGGUUAGGAUUCUCAAAUUAGUUGGUCAGCACUCAUUCGUAUCCAGGGGGGGUUGUUGGUUGGAUUCCCGUAACUGAAGCAAUUUGGUCCCGUUUCUUCUUCCUCUUCUUCCUCCUCUUCUUCGUCUCAACACCAUCGGCAUUCUUCAAAUAACCCCGACUGCCGACAUUCUUUCCUCUCUUUGUCUCAGCCUCUCUGUCUCUGAACAUGAAUAUAGUUUAUAUUUUGGUUUUCUGUGCUGUAUUUUGUUUUUUUGGGGGGGGGGGAAAUCAUCCAGAUUCACAUUCCAGCCUCGCCGCACUUUGUCAUUCAAGGAAUUCUGUUCAAGGACUUGAAUUAAAACUCUUAAACGCGAUUCAUCAAAACGUGAGAGAUGCAAAUGAACGACCGUUUUUCUCUCUCCUCCGAAGCAACAUCGACAUCGAUCGUUACUUUGGAGACAACUUCACGGUCAAACAUUGUCCUCGUGUCUCCCUGAGCCUCCUUCUCUCUUCUUCUCUCUGUGCCACUCUGGUUGACUCCCACCGAGCUUUCAGUAAGCAGUAUUCCAGAGGUUGCAUCUGUGUGUGUGUGUGUGUGUGUGUGUGCGUGUGUGUGCGUGCGGUUCAAACCUCUCAGAAGGUGAUGACAAGACCUCACAACGCAGGGUUUUUCUUUCAUGCCAUGAAAUCGCUCUGUUUCACUUUUAUUACUUUCUUUUCUUGUCUGUCUCUCUCGUCUCCCCCUCCUCCCCUCGGUCUCCCCCUCCUCCCCUGACCCACUUAAACAACAUGGAAACGGUUCGCGGGCGUGAUAAAACAACGCGCUACGUACGCAUGAGACACCCGCUCGACAUCCCUUCUGUUCGAGCUCCGUCUCCUCUGACUGAAACGAGCAUUCAUGAAAGUUUAAUAAAAUAAAUAGAAAGGUUCAUUAAAAGAAACACAACUAACACACACACACACACACACGCGCACACACACACGCACGUCUUUCCCAACAGUCCGCGAGUUGUUACAUAAGGAGAUAAUGAGCCGUCAAAUACUGUAUAUGAUCCACUUUUCCAGAACCUUCCGUCUGACCACAAAGAACAGAGCGUACACACACACACACACACACACACACACACACACACACACACACACAAGCUCCCUCCGUAUUCAGCCACUGUAUCCCGUCUCAUCUUUCCCUCCACGUUUUCAGAAUAACUCGUGCAUGCAGUUUGUGAGGGAAGGGGGGUGCAGAGAAGAGAACAUUAUAUUAUUAUUAUAUUAAUAUUAGAACAACUGAUCUCAACGUUGAUCCAAAUGUGCCCAUAAAAUCAACAAAUAAAAAAUAAAAAGAGUGAAAGAAGGGGGGGUUACGGCAGAGGUGGGGGGCACCUGAUAGAAUCAUUUAAGGGGCGGGGCUUGGACGCGCCGGUCGUUAGCAUGUGGCGAGAUCAACUAAAUGAAUGUAAUGGAAUUAAAGUGCCUUGGAUCCAGAAACGGGACGGACUCCAGUUCAAUUAACCCGCCCUCACACACGUCUGUUCAACGUCAGCCGCCUCCGGCUCCACACGCACACGCACACACACACACACGCGUCUGUGUGGCAUCUGAAGAGAGUUUGGCAAGUCAAGACAUUGGAGAGGGACAAGGCCAAGUACUGGGUCACCGAGGGGACAGACACACACACACACACACACACACACACACACACACACACACACACACACAGAGAGAGAGAGGAGCUGAACAUGAAGCAGAGACACACACACGCGGGCCAACUUGCAGGAGUCAACAUCUUUGAGUUGAGAACGUCCUCCUGCCAGAACCAGAGCGAGGCGGGAAAAUGCUCCUUUGCGCCAAGUCCUUUGACCUUUGACCUUUGGUGCGUUAACGUCAGUUCCGUUCUCACGGGUCAAUCUGAGAUGAUCUCCUCCUGCUCCUCCUCCUUUCACUGCGGCGACGCACCUGGCUGGGACGUGAGGUCAGCGAACGGUGCUUUCGGCGCAUUGAUCUCUCACUCUGCUCCUCCUCGUGCACCGCCAGCAAACACGCCGCUCAUCUGGAAUCACCGGAGACGUGCGGAGAAACACGCGCGGCGCCCCCUCAUUAUUUGUGUUUACCCGCCGCCGCCCCCCGAUCAGCACCCUGCAAACACGCUGAGCUCGGCCGUAAUGUGUGUGUGUGUGUGAAUACGGCUGUAACGUCUCAGAGCGGCGGGUCACAAACACAAAAAGGUUCUGACAACAGCACGCGUGCAUUUUUCCGUGUGUUUGUGUGUGCGGUGUCAUGUGCGUGCAGCGUUGCGUGGGUGCACAUGUGUGUGUGUGUGUUUGUCUGCAGUUUAAAUGGGGGCACUGGCGGGUUUACAGGAGGCAGGCUGGUUUACUGGUCCCUAAACAGUCAAUGAAGACUCCCCCCCCCUCUUCCUCUUCCUGCCGGACCACCGUCCAGUUGGCCCCCCGACGGCCGCGCUCGAGUCAACGCCGGGGGGCAUCGGCCCUCCGCACCGCCGCAGACCCGACGGAGCCCGACAGGAAGCUCUUUCUUUUUUUAUUUUUCUAUCUCCACCAAAAGUGUUUUGUUUGGUCCGACCCGUCCUGGCAGAGCCCCGCGGCCCGACCGGAGCCAGGACUCGCCGAGGCGGGAAUCGAGGACUCUCUGCCAUGCGGCACAGACGACGGAGGUAUGCGGACAGCUGGGCCGGCGCGGCGCCGAGUGAGCUGAGCCGGCGUCCGCACACGUUUGUCCGCACGCUGCGUUUCUAGCGACCGUUCUUCCAACCCAAGCCUCCGUUUUAUUUCCCUUUCCAGAUCUCUGUCUCGCGUCUUCGCCGCUCCACCUCUUCACCGGCCAAAACGUCUCUCUUCGGCUUCUCUCCUCGCGUCUUUCGUCCAGCUCUCAGUCUUGGCUCCCUCGCUUUCUGAUUCCUCGCGGGCCCCCGCGUUUUGAGUUCGACUCCUAAGCGCCGGGGCGGCCCGGCUCGGGGAGUUGAACGCAUCCUGGAACCUCGCCGAAGGCCAAGCGAGAGUUGAACCCACAUCACGGCUCGGCCGCGUGUCUGCAUGUGUGCGCGUGUGCGUGUGUUCUGCGGCGGGGCAAUCAGCUUCGAGCCAGAGGCGAGGAGGGCGGGAAUUGUGGGGAAAUAAACAGAGUUUAACACCAAAAAACGCGCGCGCACUAAUGAAAAGCAAACACAAGUUUCAAAACGCUCCUGAGAGGUUCCAAGGGGACAAACUGUUUUUCAUAGCUUGUAUUCUUUGAUGAGCAAUUAUCCUGCUCCCCCACGGCCUUUUGGACGAUAUUAAUCGGCGGGAAGCAGAACAUUGGUGGAUAUGGCCAACAAAGAGCCACUUACUGCUUUAAUUAUCCGUCAAUGGAUUCAGCAUCUGUCUGCACUAAAGACAUGGCUCGCCGCGCUGGAACGCUCACACACAACCUUGUACUUCUAUCUCUGUGAGGACACUCAUUGACGCUACGCGUCCCCGUGGCAGAAACCUCAAAGUGGCCUUUGAAGGGAGGACGGAUGUCCUCACGGAAGUCCACGCUCACACACACACACACACACACAGGGUACCCUGAGCAUUUGCCGUGUUUUGCGUCUUCUCUUUCGUGUUUGACCUGCUGAAAUGUGCUUUACAAAGGAAACCUGAUAACUGUCGUGACUUCAAGUGGCCAGAACGGGACGAGCUGGAAAUAUACUGGAUACCCCUAAACAGCCGACUCGUCUCUGAAUCGUCUGGUGGCAUCACGGGGUAUCGUGAGGCUCAUCCCAACGUCUUUCCAGAAGAACAAGCCGUCUCGGCCCCCACGGUGUUUGAUUGAUCAUCGGCGUCUGGGAAGUAAAAUACAGAGAAACCCACAGCAGAGAAGCCCAGAGAUACAUUUAAAAUGACAGUAAUUAUACAUCAAAUCAAGAUCAUUACACUGUGUCCUGCAGCCACUACAGCGUUUCUUUAUGUCACGACAAAGUGAGGGAGUCACAUGCUAAUCCCAAACACAUGGCUUCUGAAACGUUGGGCCAUAAAUCACAGUAAGUGGGCAUCAUCCAGCGGAGAGGUGGUUUUAAGAACUGAGAGCGAGGAGAGGAAACGGAGACGCGCAUUCUGCCAGCGUUACACAGCGAGCCGCGAGGACCAUCGAGGUCCGCGGACUCCGUUCAUCAACGCGCCGUCCGAGGACGGACGAAGCUAGAGAUGAAGACUAAAUAAUAAGAGACAUACAGGCGGGUCGAGGUGAUGCAGAGGACACGGCGGACAGGUCGACUCAGGCUGUGUAAUCAUUCACGGAUGGAAGAUUGUUGGAUAAGAAGAGACAGAAACGAGAAGAUGUGAGAUGUUGGGCCAUUCGAGGGGAAACGUCACUAUUGGUCGUUUGGGCGAAUCCUGAAAAGUAUCGUCACUUGGAAUGAGCUUCGCUUUGUCCAUCGUGUUGAUUCUACGGCAGCCCAGAGAUAAAAAGAAUAGAUGUGCGGCCGGUGCGAAAAAAAAAAAAAAUAGACAGAAGCAGAAGUUGCUGUUUUCAAAGACGGUUCGCCAAUUCUCGUUUAUGCGCCACCUCGCUGCCAAUUCAUAACGCGCAGUGAGAGAGUAGAACAGUGUGCCGCGGUGCUUAAACGGUUCCAGCACCACCGUAAUGUCAACAGAAGCGUCGGAGCGCGAUGUUCCACACUGUGUGUCUGAGAGUAAACGGGCCUCGAAGCCUUUCUUUGUGAAUGCCCACGCUGGCGUGAUGUGUGUGUGUGUGUGUGCGUGCGUGCGUGCGUGAGGGCACAUCCAAAGCGAACAACUCCUGCGGUUACUAAAGUCAAAGUACGCAAAAAAAAAAAGAAAGAAAGCUAAAGUCUGGAUUAUGGAAAUUUCAGAGGCCGGAAUUCCUCGGUUUGCUUCCAAACAUCACUCGCCCUCGGUGUGGUCAAGUCCAUAAAACACACACACACACACACACACGCGUGCAGACAAAAGGCCAGUCAGUGUAACGCCGGUGAACCGCGGCGGUAUAAAUCUGAAAGUCCCAACAUAAUACGGCGACGGCCACAGAAAUGUCAACAGUCUACUUGACCCCCCGGAAUGGAUGUCGGGGGGAACGGAGGCGAGCGAGGGGAGAAAAAAACGGAGCGACGGAUAAACAGAGAGGAAGACCCGACGGCUGCGAGGUGGCCCGGAGCAAACGGAGGACGGCGGUGAGACUGUGGCAGGAAAAAAAAACAACAUCAUUUCAGACGGCGUGAUGCUGCGUGGAUGCCUGUGUGUGUGUGUGUGGGGGGGUCCCAGGGGGCAAUGCCAUGAUAACACGCCUGGAGGACCCUCAUAGGAGCUGGGAAUGCCCCGGGUAGCCCCGAAUAAGGUGGCAGGGGAUUGGUUAGUUCCAUCAGACAUCACAAACUAAGGUCACUUUUACCACAAAG